This 370-nucleotide ribosomal RNA is filed under the name uncultured bacterium. RNAcentral describes it as "partial 16S ribosomal RNA". It matches the Rfam family "Bacterial small subunit ribosomal RNA", at positions 338 to 701 of the family's 1533-position model. The record is from RNAcentral.
CCUACGGGAGGCAGCAGUAGGGAAGGUUCGUCAAUGGGCGCAAGCCUGAACGAGCAAUGCCGCGUGAACGAGGAAGGUCUUCGGAUCGUAAAGUUCUGUUGAAGGGGAAAAAGAGCGGAGAGAGGAAAUGCUUUCUGAUUGAUAUUACCCUUCGAGGAAGGCACGGCUAACUACGUGCCAGCAGCCGCGGUAAUACGUAGGUGGCGAGCGUUAUCCGGAAUGAUUGGGCGGAAAGGGUGCGUAGGCGGCCUGCUAAGUCUGGCGUUAAAGGUACCGGCUCAACCGGUACAGGCUCUGGAAACUGGCGGGCUAGAGGGCAGGCGAGGGCGGUGGAACUCCAUGUGUAGCGGUCAAAUGCGUAGAUCUCUGG